Molecule: small RNA, 694 nt
Filed under: Pongo abelii (Sumatran orangutan)
Lineage: Eukaryota; Metazoa; Chordata; Mammalia; Primates; Hominidae
Description: processed transcript
Source: RNAcentral
GGCACUUGGUGCCUGUGGCAAACGACUGCUACACUGUGCUGCUCGACCAGGAUACCAACCUGAUGCACAGCAUCUGGGAGAGACAGAGUAACCGAACGGUGCGCGUGACCCAGGAAUUCCUGGAGUACCACGUCAACGGGGAUGUGAAACAGGGCCCCAUUUCUGAUAACUACCUGUUCACACCGGGCAAGGCCGCAGUGCCCGCGUGGGAAGCUGUGGAAAUGGAGAUCGUGGCGGGACAGCUCGUGACUGAGAUCCGGCAGUACUUCUACAGCUCCCGGGCCGUGCUUGACACGUGGUUUGAUGAAGAAAUGAAUUGCUCUGGUGUCUGUGUGCUGGCUGCGUUUGCGUGUGGUGUCACAUUGGUUGGGAGCUAAGUUCAGAGCUGAGAGAGAGACCCACAGACCCUGGGGCCCACAGAGCACCUGUUCUUCCAUGAUCAGAGCAGAUGAACAUGACAGCACGGAAUUACACGUAUGCAAUCCGCUCCCGGCUCACCCAUGUGCCGCAGGGCCAUGACGGGGAGCUGCUCUGCCACCGGAUAGAGCAGGAGUACCAAGCCGGCCCCCUGGAGCUGAACCGCGAGGCUGUCCUGAGGACCAGCACCAACCUAAACAGCCAGCAGGUCAUCUACUCAGACAACAACGGCUACCAGAUGCAGCGGAGGCCCUACGUUUCCUAUGUGAACAACAGC